CAGACUCAGAUGCAGCGGGAAGCCGGAAUGGAAGGAAUGGGGAUGGAGCCAGUGGUGCCAUGGGUGCCUCCGCUAGGAACUCUGGUCGAUGCCCGACGCGGGGUAAAUAGACCCUGCGGUUCCAGGACUCUACCUCAGUGGCGGGAAAACCUCAACCUGCACUGCAGAUGCCCAACUCAGGGAGCAUGCGCAGGGUGUGCGCACGCGCCUCUUUCUGCGCAUGCGCCUUAGUGCGCAUACGCCUUCCUGAGCGCAUUCUGUGAGAACCGUUGGGCCUGAGACGGGGAGAAAUAUGAGUGGGCAAGUGGCAUCAACAUUGGGAUCUACAGGUCAAGAUUCUUCCCAGCUGGAUGAACCUGUGGUUGACCAGCAGCCCAGUGUUGAGCAACCUCAACAAGAGGAAGCACCAGCUGAGAUUCAGGAUAUCACACCUGGAAAGGAGGAAGUCAAUGGAGAGGAUCCAGUGAAUCAUGAUGAAGAGGAGAAGGAUGCCCCUGGAGAUUCUGACCUGGAAACUGAUCUCCAGGAAUUGGCUUUGGCAAAGACUGGGGAUCAAGGCGGAGAUGGUCCUGAUGUCAAGGAGGAGAUUGCAUCAAAUACAGAGACUGUUGAAAUGCCAGAGGAGGUGAAGGGGAACCAUUUGCUUGAAAGAAGAUAAACUGAAACCAUCUAUGCUGUUCUUAUGCUGUUUAUUUGACUGUUAAAGUUCUGUCAAUAAAGUUUCAUUUUCUACUUGCAAA
Molecule: RNA transcript, 740 nt
Organism: Cervus elaphus (red deer)
Lineage: Eukaryota; Metazoa; Chordata; Mammalia; Artiodactyla; Cervidae
Gene name: X antigen family member 5-like
Exons: 6
Source: RefSeq, a predicted model, not a curated record